This 492-nucleotide ribosomal RNA is filed under the name uncultured bacterium. Its description in RNAcentral is "partial 16S ribosomal RNA". It matches the Rfam family "Bacterial small subunit ribosomal RNA", at positions 29 to 507 of the family's 1533-position model. The record is from RNAcentral.
AGUGAACGCUGGCGGUAGGCCUAACACAUGCAAGUCGAACGGCAGCACAGUAAGAGCUUGCUCUUACGGGUGGCGAGUGGCGGACGGGUGAGGAAUACAUCGGAAUCUACUUUUUAGUGGGGGAUAACGUAGGGAAACUUACGCUAAUACCGCAUACGACCUACGGGUGAAAGCAGGGGAUCUUCGGACCUUGCGCGAUUGAAUGAGCCGAUGUCGGAUUAGCUAGUUGGCGGGGUAAAGGCCCACCAAGGCGACGAUCCGUAGCUGGACUGAGAGGAUGAUCAGCCACACUGGAACUGAGACACGGUCCAGACUCCUACGGGAGGCAGCAGUGGGGAAUAUUGGACAACGGGCGCAAGCCUGAUCCAGCCAUACCGCGUGGGUGAAGAAGGCCUUCGGGUUGUAAAGCCCUUUUGUUGGGAAAGAAAAGCAGCAGGUUAAUACCCCGCUGUUCUGACGGUACCCAAAGAAUAAGCACCGGCUAACUUCGUG